This 244-nucleotide ribosomal RNA is filed under the name uncultured bacterium. RNAcentral describes it as "partial 16S ribosomal RNA". It matches the Rfam family "Bacterial small subunit ribosomal RNA", at positions 524 to 765 of the family's 1533-position model. The record is from RNAcentral.
UACGGAGGGUGCAAGCGUUGUCCGGAAUCACUGGGCGUAAAGGGCGCGUAGGCGGCUCAUGAAGGCUGUGGUGAAAGUCCGGGGCUCAACCUCGGAUCGGCCGUGGCGACUCGUGGGCUGGAGCACUGUAGAGGCGGGUGGAAUUCCGGGUGUAGCGGUGGAAUGCGUAGAGAUCCGGAAGAACACCAGUGGCGAAGGCGGCCCGCGUGGGCAGUGGCCUGACGCUGAGGCGCGCAGGCGUGGG